RNAcentral lists this ribosomal RNA (460 nucleotides) under uncultured bacterium. RNAcentral describes it as "partial 16S ribosomal RNA". It matches the Rfam family "Bacterial small subunit ribosomal RNA", at positions 338 to 795 of the family's 1533-position model. The record is from RNAcentral.
CCUACGGGAGGCAGCAGUGAGGAAUAUUGGUCAAUGGACGAGAGUCUGAACCAGCCAAGUAGCGUGAAGGAUGACUGCCCUAUGGGUUGUAAACUUCUUUUAUAUGGGAAUAAAAUGUUCCACGUGUGGGAUUUUGUAUGUACCAUAUGAAUAAGGAUCGGCUAACUCCGUGCCAGCCGCCGCGGUAAUACGGAGGAUCCGAGCGUUAUCCGGAUUUAUUGGGUUUAAAGGGAGCGUAGGUGGGUUGUUAAGUCAGUUGGGAAAGUUUGCGGCGCAACCGUAAAAUUGCAAUUGAUACUGGCAGUCUUGAGGACAGUUGAGGUAGGCGGAAUUCGUGGUGUAGCGGUGAAAUGCUUAGAUAUCACGAAGAACUCCGAUUGCGAAGGCAGCUUACUAAACUGCCACUGACAUUGAGGCUCGAAAGUGUGGGUAUCAAACAGGAUUAGAUACCCGAGUAGUC